CCUACGGGUGGCAGCAGUGAGGAAUAUUGGUCAAUGGCCGAAAGGCUGAACCAGCCAAGUCGCGUGAAGGAAGACGGCCCUACGGUUUGUAAACUUCUUUUAUCGGGGAGUAAAGGGGUCCCCGUGUGGGUUAUUGUGUGUACCCUAUGAAUAAGCAUCGGCUAACUCCGUGCCAGCAGCCGCGGUAAUACGGAGGAUGCGAGCGUUAUCCGGAUUUAUUGGGUUUAAAGGGUGCGUAGGGUGUCGGUUAAGUCAGUGGUGAAAGUUGGAGGCUCAACCGAGAAAUUGCCUUUGAAACUGGUAGGCUUGAGAGUAGUAGAGGUAGGCGGAAUGCGUGGUGUAGCGGUGAAAUGCUUAGAUAUCAUGCAGAACUCCGAUUGCGAAGGCAGCUUACCAAGCUACAACUGACACUGAGGCACGAAAGCGUGGGGAGCAAACAGGAUUAGAUACCCUAGUAGUC
RNAcentral lists this ribosomal RNA (460 nucleotides) under uncultured bacterium. RNAcentral's name for it is "partial 16S ribosomal RNA". It matches the Rfam family "Bacterial small subunit ribosomal RNA", at positions 338 to 795 of the family's 1533-position model. The record is from RNAcentral.